RNAcentral lists this ribosomal RNA (782 nucleotides) under uncultured bacterium. Its description in RNAcentral is "bacterial SSU rRNA". It matches the Rfam family "Bacterial small subunit ribosomal RNA", at positions 8 to 796 of the family's 1533-position model. The record is from RNAcentral.
AGAGUUUGAUCCUGGCUCAGAUUGAACGCUGGCGGCAUGCCUAACACAUGCAAGUCGAACGAGGGUAGCAAUACCUUAGUGGCGGACGGGUGAGGAAUACGUAGGAAUUUGCCCUUAAGUGGGGGAUAGCCCGGGGAAACCCGGAUUAAUACCGCAUGAACUCGAGAGAGCAAAGUCGGGGACCUUCGGGCCUGGCGCUUUUGGAGAAGCCUACGUCGGAUUAGCUAGUUGGUGAGGUAAUGGCUCACCAAGGCUGCGAUCCGUAACUGGUCUGAGAGGAUGAUCAGUCACACCGGAACUGAGACACGGUCCGGACUCCUACGGGAGGCAGCAGUGGGGAAUAUUGGACAAUGGGCGAAAGCCUGAUCCAGCAAUGCCGCGUGUGUGAAGAAGGCCUUCGGGUUGUAAAGCACUUUAGGCUGGAAAGAAAAAGCUUUGGCUAAUAUCCAAAGCCUUGACGGUACCAGCAGAAUAAGCACCGGCUAACUCUGUGCCAGCAGCCGCGGUAAUACAGAGGGUGCGAGCGUUAAUCGGAUUUACUGGGCGUAAAGCGUGCGUAGGCGGCUAUUUAAGUCGGAUGUGAAAGCCCUGGGCUUAACCUGGGAACUGCAUUCGAUACUGGGUAGCUGGAGAUCGGUAGAGGGCGGCGGAAUUCCGGGUGUAGCGGUGAAAUGCGUAGAUAUCCGGAGGAACACCGAUGGCGAAGGCAACCGCCUGGGCCUGAUCUGACGCUGAGGCACGAAAGCGUGGGGAGCAAACAGGAUUAGAUACCCUGGUAGUCC